UACGUAGGGACCAAGCGUUGUUCGGAUUUACUGGGCGUAAAGGGCGCGUAGGCGGCGCGGUAAGUCACUUGUGAAAUCUCUGAGCUUAACUCAGAACGGCCAAGUGAUACUGCAGUGCUAGAGUGUGGAAGGGGCAAUCGGAAUUCUUGGUGUAGCGGUGAAAUGCGUAGAUAUCAAGAGGAACACCUGAGGUGAAGACGGGUUGCUGGGCCGACACUGACGCUGAUGCGCGAAAGCCAGGGGAGCAAACGGG
This 253-nucleotide ribosomal RNA is filed under the name uncultured bacterium. RNAcentral's name for it is "partial 16S ribosomal RNA". It matches the Rfam family "Bacterial small subunit ribosomal RNA", at positions 524 to 776 of the family's 1533-position model. The record is from RNAcentral.